UACGUAGGGAGCAAGCGUUAUCCGGAUUUACUGGGUGUAAAGGGAGCGUAGACGGCAUGGCAAGUCUGGAGUGAAAACCCAGGGCUCAACCUUGGGAUUGCUUUGGAAACUGUCAAGCUGGAGUGCCGGAGAGGUAAGCGGAAUUCCUAGUGUAGCGGUGAAAUGCGUAGAUAUUAGGAGGAACACCAGUGGCGAAGGCGGCUUGCUGGACGGUAACUGACGUUGAGGCUCGAAAGCGUGGGGAGCAAACAGG
Molecule: ribosomal RNA, 253 nt
Filed under: uncultured bacterium
Lineage: Bacteria
Description: partial 16S ribosomal RNA
Rfam family: Bacterial small subunit ribosomal RNA
Source: RNAcentral